ACAACCAAUAUCCGAGUUGAAGUAGUAAACAUUUACCCAAAAAUCAAGAAAAAGCUGAAAAACCCACCUUGAUAACUCCGAGCACCGGCGCGACGUCAAGAACAGCGAAGUCGCACGCUUGCCCGGUCUCCUCGCAAUGCCCCGGCGUCAAAUACGUGCUCGAACGAUCCCGCGGCGCGACGUCGACGACGAAACUCCAAUUAAACCCCUUCCUAGUCUAAGAUUGGAUGGUGAGUGAGAGAGAGGUAGUAGUAGUAGCAGAGGAACUCCCUCUCUCUGUCUUCACAAGACUAAAUAGAGAGAGGGAUGGCCGGUGAUACAAACGAGGGCAAGAAAUUACACAAUUAGCCCUCUACCUACCAUCUUGUACCGGUACACGAACUCUUGUACCGGUACAAGAGCCAACCCGAGAGCUGCUAAGCCUCUGCGCGAUGGUUGUACCGGUACAGCCACUAAGCUUGUACCGGUACAGCAAGCAGAGAAUGCUGCUGUUUGCAGAAUUCUUCGCGAUAAGCUGCCCUCGCGUCGCACGGAGUCCGUUUUACGUCUAUUUGACGCCAACGCGACUCGGACUUGUCCCGACACUCUCCAGAGCUGUCGACAAGCCUCCAGUCGAAC
RNAcentral lists this long non-coding RNA (618 nucleotides) under Ananas comosus (pineapple). RNAcentral describes it as "long non-coding RNA (ACOM_LNC038053)". The record is from RNAcentral. Lineage: Eukaryota; Viridiplantae; Streptophyta; Magnoliopsida; Poales; Bromeliaceae.